Molecule: ribosomal RNA, 497 nt
Filed under: uncultured bacterium
Lineage: Bacteria
Description: partial 16S ribosomal RNA
Rfam family: Bacterial small subunit ribosomal RNA
Source: RNAcentral
GACGAACGCUGGCGGCGUGCCUAAUACAUGCAAGUUGAGCGCUGAAGGUUGGUACUUGUACCGACUGGAUGAGCAGCGAACGGGUGAGUAACGAGUGGGGAAUCUGCCUUUGAGCGGGGGACAACAUUUGGAAACGAAUGCUAAUACCGCAUAAAAACUUUAAACACAAGGUUUAAGUUUGAAAGAUGCAAUUGCAUCACUCAAAGAUGAUCCCGCGUUGUAUUAGCUAGUUGGUGAGGUAAAGGCUCACCAAGGCGAUGAUACAUAGCCGACCUGAGAGGGUGGUCGGCCACAUUGGGACUGAGACACGGCCCAAACUCCUACGGGAGGCAGCAGUAGGGAAUCUUCGGCAAUGGACGAAAGUCUGACCGAGCAACGCCGCGUGAGUGAAGAAGGUUUUCGGAUCGUAAAACUCUGUUGGUAGAGAAGAACGUUGGUGAGAGUGGAAAGCUCAUCAAGUGACGGUAACUACCCAGAAAGGGACGGCUAACUACGUG